ACCUGGCUGGCUCAGUCAGUAAAACAGGUGACUCUUGAUCUCAGCAUUGUGGGUUCAAGCCCCACGUCGGGUG
RNAcentral lists this transfer RNA (73 nucleotides) under Felis catus (domestic cat). It matches the Rfam family "tRNA". Rfam says of the family: Transfer RNA (tRNA) molecules are approximately 80 nucleotides in length. Their secondary structure includes four short double-helical elements and three loops (D, anti-codon, and T loops). Further hydrogen bonds mediate the characteristic L-shaped molecular structure. tRNAs have two regions of fundamental functional importance: the anti-codon, which is responsible for specific mRNA codon recognition, and the 3' end, to which the tRNAs corresponding amino acid is attached (by aminoacyl-tRNA synthetases). tRNAs cope with the degeneracy of the genetic code in two manners: having more than one tRNA (with a specific anti-codon) for a particular amino acid; and 'wobble' base-pairing, i.e. permitting non-standard base-pairing at the 3rd anti-codon position. RNAcentral also lists the same sequence under 2 other names. The record is from Rfam by way of RNAcentral. Lineage: Eukaryota; Metazoa; Chordata; Mammalia; Carnivora; Felidae.